GGAAGUGUGCCCGAAUGGUCUAAGGAUUACUUUGAUAGAGUAAAAAACAGAGGUUAAACUCCUCUCACUCCCU
Molecule: transfer RNA, 73 nt
Filed under: Heremites auratus (Golden grass mabuya)
Lineage: Eukaryota; Metazoa; Chordata; Lepidosauria; Squamata; Scincidae
Description: tRNA-Ile
Rfam family: tRNA
About the family: Transfer RNA (tRNA) molecules are approximately 80 nucleotides in length. Their secondary structure includes four short double-helical elements and three loops (D, anti-codon, and T loops).
Source: RNAcentral